This is a long non-coding RNA of Ornithodoros turicata, 423 nucleotides long. RefSeq lists it as uncharacterized. Lineage: Eukaryota; Metazoa; Arthropoda; Arachnida; Ixodida; Argasidae. The transcript has 5 exons. The record is from RefSeq and is a predicted model, not a curated record.
AGCUCAGCACGCGAGAGAACAGGGAGUGUGGUCAGAAAGAUAGCUCAGGGUUUACCAUUGCUCUGCAACGAGCUCUUCUUCAACGAUGUUCAAGUAUGCCUUCUUCUACCUGCUUGUCUGCGUAAUUGUUCUGGUUGACGCACAAGAACAUGAAGAAGGAAAUGAUGAGGAUGAAGGCAACGGACUCGGACGGGUGGUGCAGAUACCAGUGAAGGUUUUCAAAGGAGCUGUCAAAUUCAUUAAAGAUCUCUUAGGACUUGGCGCAGGUGGCGAUCCAACUGGGCUGCUACGCAAGUGAGCCGCUGCUUCUAAAGGAGGACAUCCCACAAAGAACGUAGAAAGAUAUCUUGCGUGUAUCAAACAAUAAACGUUCUACGAUGCAUUCAGCUUUACAGAACCCAGAGAAUCGUUCUCCAUACUGCA